Neodiprion virginianus is the source of this 521-nucleotide long non-coding RNA. RefSeq lists it as uncharacterized. Lineage: Eukaryota; Metazoa; Arthropoda; Insecta; Hymenoptera; Diprionidae. The record is from RefSeq and is a predicted model, not a curated record. The transcript has 4 exons.
UAUAAUUAUAUUUAGCCACAUUUACGUGUCAGCUGACAUUGACACAGAUUAGAAUGACGCAUGUCCAAUUGCUUGGUGGGGUCAUGCAUCCAGUUCAAUCGUACAAAUAGGCUGGGCAUUCCAACCAUAUAUCUUCGGAAGUUAAACAGCUUAUCUCAGUCUUAUUGACGUGUAAAUCAGCUUGAUUGCGCCAUGUCACGAUUAGUCAUCAAAUUCACAAAGGCUGAUGCUUGGUGAUAAACGUAUAUGCGAAUAGUGCUGUUCAAGUCAUUAAGCAGUUGAGAAAAAUUGUUCGGAUCACGGAAGCAAGGUUAUGAUUUCACGAGCACAAUAUCAGCAGUUACGCAGUAUUGCUUAAAGACAUUUCCUCAUGGAGAUAAUCUACCUACUAGUCAAAGUAUCGGUGAAUGGUGAUAGUGGUCGAUGCAGGUUCUAGAUCAUAGGGAAAAAAACAAGAAACAAGCACGGCUCAAAUUUAGCUGAAGUCUAAGAAUGUCAACAUGGGGUUAAGGAAUACAGGU